Molecule: non-coding RNA, 203 nt
Filed under: bovine gut metagenome
Description: Lysine riboswitch
Rfam family: Lysine riboswitch aptamer
About the family: Riboswitches are metabolite binding domains within certain messenger RNAs that serve as precision sensors for their corresponding targets.
Source: RNAcentral
AGACAGAGGCGCAUUGAUUAUCAGUAGGCCCGUUCUUUUGAGGUUCCAGGCUCACUUAGUAUGGAACUUCAAUAAUAACGUACUGAACGUUGAACGGUUGAAAGGAUGAUAUGCCGAGGUAUAUAGGAAGCAGUAUCCUAUUUGCCGGGAAUAUGGUUAACAGCCGUAUUACUGUCAUCACGAGAGUGAUGGGGAGCUGCCAG